Molecule: ribosomal RNA, 497 nt
Filed under: uncultured bacterium
Lineage: Bacteria
Description: partial 16S ribosomal RNA
Rfam family: Bacterial small subunit ribosomal RNA
Source: RNAcentral
GAUGAACGCUGGCGGCGUGCCUAAUACUUGCAAGUCGAGCGAACGGACGAGAAGCUUGCUUCUCUGAUGUUAGCGGCGGACGGGUGAGUAACACGUGGAUAACCUACCUAUAAGACUGGGAUAACUUCGGGAAACCGGAGCUAAUACCGGAUGAUAUUUUGAACCGCAUGGUUCAAAAGUGAAAGACGGUCUUGCUGUCACUUAUAGAUGGAUCCGCGCUGCAUUAGCUAGUUGGUAAGGUAACGGCUUACCAAGGCAACGAUGCAUAGCCGACCUGAGAGGGUGAUCGGCCACACUGGAACUGAGCCACGGUCCAGACUCCUACGGGAGGCAGCAGUAGGGAAUCUUCCGCAAUGGGCGAAAGCCUGACGGAGCAACGCCGCGUGAGUGAUGAAGGUCUUCGGAUCGUAAAACUCUGUUAUUAGGGAAGAACAUAUGUGUAAGUAACUGUGCACAUCUUGACGGUACCUAAUCAGAAAGCCACGGCUAACUACGUG